This 454-nucleotide ribosomal RNA is filed under the name Newportia longitarsis stechowi. Its description in RNAcentral is "partial 16S ribosomal RNA". It matches the Rfam family "Bacterial large subunit ribosomal RNA", at positions 1923 to 2600 of the family's 2925-position model. The record is from RNAcentral. Lineage: Eukaryota; Metazoa; Arthropoda; Chilopoda; Scolopendromorpha; Scolopocryptopidae.
UUAAACGGCCGCGAUAUUUUAAUCGUGCGAAGGUAGCAUAAUCAAUUGUCUAUUAAUUGUAGGCUGGAAUGAAUGGUUUGACUGUAAGAUAAGUUGUCUUGGUUUAAAGAUGAAUUUUCUUUUUUUGUGAGGAAGCAAAAAUGGGGCAAAGAGACGAGAAGACCCUAUUAAGUUUAAUAGUAGGAGGUAUUUGAAUGUGUAGGGAGGGGGAAUGAAUUGUGUUAUUUAGUUGGGGCGGUGAGAAUUAAUUAAAACAAUUAUUUGUGGGAAAACUACUAAGUGGGAGUUGAUCCAGUAUUAUUGAUUUGAAGUCUAAAUUACUGUAGGGAUAACAGCGUAAUUUUAUUUUGGAGUUCUAAUUUAUGAUGAAGUUUGCGACCUCGAUGUUGGUUUAGGGGCCCAGUUAGGUGAAGAAGCCUAAUAAGGUAGUCUGUUCGACUAGUAAAAUCCUAUA